AAAUAUUUUUUUCGUCAGAGAAGAUACAUUUCUUGGAAAAGUUAUGAUGAAAAAAGUAAAUUCAAAUCUUGGAGGCAAACAAGGGAAAGAAAUAGGAUAAAAUCGUGCCUUAAUUAAUUAAAAUUAGUUCUGCCUGAUAGUGCAGGAUUCGGAAAUUUUAGUUUUAGUAAUAUCCAAAAAAGUAGGUAAGAAAGUUAUUUUUUUCUAAGUUAAAAAAAAAAAAAAAAAGAAAAAGCAAGAAAUAGUUGAAUUUUUCAUUAAGGCUGAACCGAUAGUCGAUCACGAAGGAUUUGUUCAUAAGACUAGCCGAUAAAGUAGGUUUCUAAAGAUCCUCGUGUACAGAAGUGGAUCGAAUCUCGAUUAAAACAGUAGACGGUAGUGGGAAAGGAGUAUGUCGAGUCAGAAAUCCGGUUAAAACCAGACACGGUUGUCGGUGUUUUGUGGCUUGAACAGAAUACGCUGGGAAAUCACGCCGUUUACAGAGGUUUAGACGCUUACCGAGUCUCUGCGCGUACAGGCAUAUAACACACAUUGCCCGCAUUUGUAAGCGCUAGUGGAGAAGCAGCACAACCACCGCCAAGAAUCAGCUGAUAGGAUUACACGUGAUACUCAUAUCAUCAUCGCUAUAAGACAUAGUGAUAAUUUUUGAAAAUUCAUGACUGAAAAAUUGUUAAAAACUGUUAUCUCUUAACGUGAAUCUAAAUAAAAUCAAUCCCAAGAACUUUUCACGAGUGCGGAAUU
This is a long non-coding RNA of Apis florea (little honeybee), 741 nucleotides long. The record is from RefSeq and is a predicted model, not a curated record. Lineage: Eukaryota; Metazoa; Arthropoda; Insecta; Hymenoptera; Apidae.